CGGGGAAUUUUGGACAAUGGGGGAAACCCUGAUCCAGCCAUCCCGCGUGUGCGAUGAAGGCCUUCGGGUUGUAAAGCACUUUUGGCAGGAAAGAAACGUCAUGGGUUAAUACCCCGUGAAACUGACGGUACCUGCAGAAUAAGCACCGGCUAACUACGUGCCAGCAGCCGCGGUAAUACGUAGGGUGCAAGCGUUAAUCGGAAUUACUGGGCGUAAAGCGUGCGCAGGCGGUUCGGAAAGAAAGAUGUGAAAUCCCAGAGCUCAACUUUGGAACUGCAUUUUUAACUACCGGGCUAGAGUGUGUCAGAGGGAGGUGGAAUUCCGCGUGUAGCAGUGAAAUGCGUAGAUAUGCGGAGGAACACCGAUGGCGAAGGCAGCCUCCUGGGAUAACACAGACGCUCAUGCACGAAAGCGUGGGGAGCAAACAGG
This 429-nucleotide ribosomal RNA is filed under the name Acidobacteriota bacterium. Its description in RNAcentral is "Acidobacteria bacterium partial 16S ribosomal RNA". It matches the Rfam family "Bacterial small subunit ribosomal RNA", at positions 355 to 776 of the family's 1533-position model. Lineage: Bacteria; Pseudomonadati; Acidobacteriota. The record is from RNAcentral.